This is a small nucleolar RNA of Callithrix jacchus (white-tufted-ear marmoset), 95 nucleotides long. The record is from Ensembl. NCBI's taxonomy places the organism in Eukaryota, Metazoa, Chordata, Mammalia, Primates, Cebidae.
AACCAAAACCUAAGUAUGACGAUUGGGUUUUCAUGCUAUUGUAUGAUAUGUGCCUUCCUUAAAACUUGUUAUACCAUCACAUCACCCAUCUGAUG